This 496-nucleotide ribosomal RNA is filed under the name Ehrlichia canis. Its description in RNAcentral is "bacterial SSU rRNA". It matches the Rfam family "Bacterial small subunit ribosomal RNA", at positions 70 to 596 of the family's 1533-position model. Lineage: Bacteria; Pseudomonadati; Pseudomonadota; Alphaproteobacteria; Rickettsiales; Anaplasmataceae. The record is from RNAcentral.
UUUAUAGCCUCUGGCUAUAGGAAAUUGUUAGUGGCAGACGGGUGAGUAAUGCGUAGGAAUCUACCUAGUAGUACGGAAUAGCCAUUAGAAAUGGUGGGUAAUACUGUAUAAUCCCCGAGGGGGAAAGAUUUAUCGCUAUUAGAUGAGCCUACGUUAGAUCAGCUAGUUGGUGAGGUAAUGGCUUACCAAGGCUAUGAUCUAUAGCUGGUCUGAGAGGACGAUCAGCCACACUGGAACUGAGAUACGGUCCAGACUCCUACGGGAGGCAGCAGUGGGGAAUAUUGGACAAUGGGCGAAAGCCUGAUCCAGCUAUGCCGCGUGAGUGAAGAAGGCCUUCGGGUUGUAAAACUCUUUCAAUAGGGAAGAUAAUGACGGUACCUAUAGAAGAAGUCCCGGCAAACUCUGUGCCAGCAGCCGCGGUAAUACGGAGGGGGCAAGCGUUGUUCGGAAUUAUUGGGCGUAAAGGGCACGUAGGGGGACUAGUAAGUUAAAAGUG